This 253-nucleotide ribosomal RNA is filed under the name uncultured bacterium. RNAcentral's name for it is "partial 16S ribosomal RNA". It matches the Rfam family "Bacterial small subunit ribosomal RNA", at positions 524 to 776 of the family's 1533-position model. RNAcentral also lists the same sequence under 1 other name. The record is from RNAcentral.
UACGUAGGGUGCGAGCGUUAAUCGGAAUUACUGGGCGUAAAGCGUGCGCAGGCGGUUUUGUAAGCCAGAUGUGAAAUCCCCGGGCUCAACCUGGGAAUGGCAUUUGGGACUGCAAGGCUGGAGUGUGGCAGAGGAGACUGGAAUUCCUGGUGUAGCAGUGAAAUGCGUAGAUAUCAGGAGGAAUACCGAUGGCGAAGGCAGGUCUCUGGGCUAACACUGACGCUCAUGCACGAAAGCGUGGGGAGCAAACAGG